Molecule: ribosomal RNA, 497 nt
Filed under: uncultured bacterium
Lineage: Bacteria
Description: partial 16S ribosomal RNA
Rfam family: Bacterial small subunit ribosomal RNA
Source: RNAcentral
GACGAACGCUGGCGGCGUGCCUAAUACAUGCAAGUUGAGCGAUGAAGAUUGGUGCUUGCACCAAUUUGAAGAGCAGCGAACGGGUGAGUAACGCGUGGGGAAUCUGCCUUUGAGCGGGGGACAACAUUUGGAAACGAAUGCUAAUACCGCAUAACAACUUUAAACAUAAGUUUUAAGUUUGAAAGAUGCAAUUGCAUCACUCAAAGAUGAUCCCGCGUUGUAUUAGCUAGUUGGUGAGGUAAAGGCUCACCAAGGCGAUGAUACAUAGCCGACCUGAGAGGGUGAUCGGCCACAUUGGGACGGAGACACGGCCCAAAAUCCUACGGGAGGCAGCAGUAGGGAAUCUUCGGCAAUGGACGAAAGUCUGACCGAGCAACGCCGCGUGAGUGAAGAAGGUUUUCGGAUCGUAAAACUCUGUUGGUAGAGAAGAACGUUGGUGAGAGUGGAAAGCUCAUCAAGUGACGGUAACUACACAGAAAGGGACGGCUAACUACGUG